AUGCGUUGUGUUAAUAACACAGAAACAGAUCACAAACAAGUCAAAGUUAGGAUGUUAAUUCAAGCCAUAGGGAUGGAAGACUGGGGCUUCUGGUCCUGACAGGGGGCAGCUCAACCAGUGAAGAAUGGUCCAGGCAGCUGGUGUGACUAAGCCAUGCCUUGUAAGGAUGGGGCGGAGUGGCGUAGACUGUGAAGGCAUUGAGGAGUCUCUUAGCCGCACUUGAGGGAAGCCGUCACAGGAUGUGAGCAGAGCCAGGCUCAGGGGCAGCGUCUGAAAAGGGAGUCUGUUUGAGAAUCAAAGCCCACCGGGUCCACCCUCUGCAC
Molecule: long non-coding RNA, 323 nt
Organism: Sinocyclocheilus anshuiensis
Lineage: Eukaryota; Metazoa; Chordata; Actinopteri; Cypriniformes; Cyprinidae
Exons: 4
Source: RefSeq, a predicted model, not a curated record